Molecule: unclassified non-coding RNA, 239 nt
Filed under: plant metagenome
Description: partial contains small subunit ribosomal RNA, internal transcribed spacer 1, and 5.8S ribosomal RNA
Source: RNAcentral
UUUCCGUAGGUGAACCUGCGGAAGGAUCAUUAUUGAAUGAAACACUUCUGGCUUUAUGCUGUUGUGCUGGCCCUGGGCAAUGUGCACACGGCUCUGGUCACUUGUUUCUUCUGUUCCACCUGUGCACUGCCUGUAGACACGCUGUGUCUAUGAUAUUUGUUAACACACAACAAUGUUAGUUGGCAUGUUAUAUAUAAUAAUAAAAUAUACAACUUUCAACAACGGAUCUCUUGGCUCUC